UACGUAUGGAGCAAGCGUUAUCCGGAUUUACUGGGUGUAAAGGGAGUGUAGGUGGCCAGGCAAGUCAGAAGUGAAAGCCCGGGGCUCAACCCCGGGACUGCUUUUGAAACUGCAGGGCUAGAGUGCAGGAGGGGCAAGUGGAAUUCCUAGUGUAGCGGUGAAAUGCGUAGAUAUUAGGAGGAACACCGGUGGCGAAGGCGGCUUGCUGGACUGUAACUGACACUGAGGCUCGAAAGCGUGGGGAGCAAACAGG
Molecule: ribosomal RNA, 253 nt
Filed under: [Lactobacillus] rogosae
Lineage: Bacteria; Bacillati; Bacillota; Clostridia; Lachnospirales; Lachnospiraceae
Description: Lactobacillus rogosae partial 16S ribosomal RNA
Rfam family: Bacterial small subunit ribosomal RNA
Source: RNAcentral